GCAACGCCGCGUGUGCGAUGAAGGCCUUCGGGUCGUAAAGCACUUUUUAGAGGGAUGAGGAAGGACAGUACCUCUAGAAUAAGCCUCGGCUAACUACGUGCCAGCAGCCGCGGUAAAACGUAGGAGGCAAGCGUUAUCCGGAUUUACUGGGCGUAAAGCGUGUGCAGGCGGUUCGGUAAGUUGGAUGUGAAAGCUCCUGGCUUAACUGGGAGAGGUCGUUCAAUACUACCGAGCUAGAGAGUGGUAGAGGGAGGUGGAAUUCCGGGUGUAGUGGUGAAAUGCGUAGAUAUCCGGAGGAACACCAGUGGCGAAAGCGGCCUCCUGGACCAUCUCUGACGCUCAUACACGAAAGCUAGGGGAGCAAACGGGAUUAGAGACCCCGGUAGUCCUAGCCGUAAACUAUGUGAACUUGGCGUCAGUGGCUUCAAAACCAUUGGUGCCGUAGCUAACGCGAUAAGUUCACCGCCUGGGGACUACGGCCGCAAGGUUAAAACUCAAAGGAAUUGACGGGUCCCCGCACAAGCAGCGGAGCGUGUGGUUUAAUUCGAUGUUACACGAAGAACCUUACCAAGGCUUGACAUGCAAGUGGUAGGAAACUGAAAGGCGACCGA
RNAcentral lists this ribosomal RNA (611 nucleotides) under uncultured bacterium. RNAcentral describes it as "bacterial SSU rRNA". It matches the Rfam family "Bacterial small subunit ribosomal RNA", at positions 391 to 1015 of the family's 1533-position model. The record is from RNAcentral.